This 69-nucleotide transfer RNA is filed under the name Cheilinus fasciatus (redbreast wrasse). RNAcentral describes it as "tRNA-His". It matches the Rfam family "tRNA". From Rfam's summary of the family: Transfer RNA (tRNA) molecules are approximately 80 nucleotides in length. Their secondary structure includes four short double-helical elements and three loops (D, anti-codon, and T loops). The record is from RNAcentral. Lineage: Eukaryota; Metazoa; Chordata; Actinopteri; Labriformes; Labridae.
GUAGAUAUAGUUUAAUCAAAACGCUGGAUUGUGAUUCCAGAAAUAGGGGUUAAACUCCCCUUAUCCACC